GAUAAGUGUAAAUUGUGAGAGGAUCUAAGGUGGGAUUGCUAACAACUCUGACUACUCCCAGAGUUGAAUCAUAAAUUCCCCCAAAAAACAUCGCUUUAGCCACUAAUAAUAAAGCGCCGACUCCCAAGAACAACAGGUGAUGACCUAAAAUAAUCCCCAGUUUUUUAGAAUCAUUCCA
Molecule: antisense RNA, 178 nt
Filed under: Gloeothece citriformis PCC 7424
Lineage: Bacteria; Bacillati; Cyanobacteriota; Cyanophyceae; Chroococcales; Aphanothecaceae
Description: Cyanothece sp. PCC 7424 Antisense RNA which regulates isiA expression
Rfam family: Antisense RNA which regulates isiA expression
Source: Rfam by way of RNAcentral